GACGAACGCUGGCGGCGUGCUUAACACAUGCAAGUGGAGCGACGAACCAGGGCUUGCCCUGGGGCAAAGCCGCGAACGGGUGAGUAACACGUGGGUAACCUGCCCCGAUGACUGGGACAACCCGAGGAAACUCGGGCUAAUACCGGAUGUGCUCGAGCGCCAUCAGGCGCUUCAGGAAAGGAAGCUUCGGCCUCCGCAUCGGGAUGGGCCCGCGGCCCAUUAGCUUGUUGGUGAGGUAACGGCUCACCAAGGCCGCGAUGGGUAGCUGGUCUGAGAG
Molecule: ribosomal RNA, 277 nt
Filed under: uncultured bacterium
Lineage: Bacteria
Description: partial 16S ribosomal RNA
Rfam family: Bacterial small subunit ribosomal RNA
Source: RNAcentral